RNAcentral lists this ribosomal RNA (503 nucleotides) under uncultured bacterium. RNAcentral describes it as "partial 16S ribosomal RNA". It matches the Rfam family "Bacterial small subunit ribosomal RNA", at positions 30 to 523 of the family's 1533-position model. The record is from RNAcentral.
AUUGAACGCUGGCGGCAGGCUUAACACAUGCAAGUCGAGCGGGGUGAUGGUGCUUGCACUAUCACUUAGCGGCGGACGGGUGAGUAAUGCUUAGGAAUCUGCCUAUUAGUGGGGGACAACAUCUCGAAAGGGAUGCUAAAACCGCAUACGUCCUACGGGAGAAAGCAGGGGAUCACUUGUGACCUUGCGCUAAUAGAUGAGCCUAAGUCGGAUUAGCUAGUUGGUGGGGUAAAGGCCUACCAAGGCGACGAUCUGUAGCGGGUCUGAGAGGAUGAGCCGCCACACGGGGACUGAGACACGGCCCAGACUCCUACGGGAGGCAGCAGUGGGGAAUAUUGGACAAUGGGGGGAACCCUGAUCCAGCCAUGCCGCGUGUGUGAAGAAGGCCUUAUGGUUGUAAAGCACUUUAAGCGAGGAGGAGGCUCUUUUGGUUAAUACCCAAGAUGAGUGGACGUUACUCGCAGAAUAAGCACCGGCUAACUCUGUGCCAGCCGCCGCCGUAA